UACGGAGGGUGCAAGCGUUACUCGGAAUCACUGGGCGUAAAGGAUGCGUAGGCUGGAAAUCAAGUCGAGAGUGAAAUCCAACGGCUCAACCGUUGAACUGCUCUCGAAACUGGUUACCGAGAAUAUGGGAGAGGUAGAUGGAAGUAGUGGUGGAGGGGUAACAUCCGUAGCUCUCACUAGGAAUACCGAGUGCGAAGGCGAUCUAAUGUAACAUUAUUGACGCUGAGGCAUGAAAUCGUGGGGAGCCAACAGGAUUAGAUACCCCCGUAGUCC
This 273-nucleotide ribosomal RNA is filed under the name uncultured bacterium. Its description in RNAcentral is "partial 16S ribosomal RNA". It matches the Rfam family "Bacterial small subunit ribosomal RNA", at positions 524 to 796 of the family's 1533-position model. The record is from RNAcentral.